Molecule: long non-coding RNA, 240 nt
Filed under: Capsicum annuum
Lineage: Eukaryota; Viridiplantae; Streptophyta; Magnoliopsida; Solanales; Solanaceae
Description: long non-coding RNA (CANN_LNC005034)
Source: RNAcentral
AUCGAGUGAGCCUAGGGAUGGGGACUCACCGCUAGAUAGGACUGAGAUCCCUAGAAGUCCCUAAGUUCCACAAAUACGUACCCAGCAUAGGUAGGAGAUAUCACCCAUUAGAUAGGACUAACAUACUCAUGGAUCACCUGUUAGUGCAUUUAAAUAUAUAGGACUGAUCCUAGGUGUCACUCGCUAGAUUAGGACUGACUCCAUAGUAUUUGUCUUUACCAGUGGCGCGGUACUGACACC